AUUGAACGCUGGCGGCAGGCCUAACACAUGCAAGUCGAGCGGAUGAAGGGAGCUUGCUCCUGGAUUCAGCGGCGGACGGGUGAGUAAUGCCUAGGAAUCUGCCUGGUAGUGGGUGAUAACGUCCGGAAACGGGCGCUAAUACCGCAUACGUCCUGAUGGAGCAAGUGGGGGAUCUUCGGACCUCACGCUAUCAGAUGAGCCUAGGUCGGAUUAGCUAGUUGGUGGGGUAAAGGCCUACCAAGGCGACGAUCCGUAACUGGUCUGAGAGGAUGAUCAGUCACACGGGAGCUGAGACACGGUCCAGACUCCUACGGGAGGCAGCAGUGGGGAAUAUUGGACAAUGGGCGAAAGCCUGAUCCAGCCGUGCCGCGUGUGUGAAGAAGGUCUUCGGAUUGUAAAGCACUUUAAGUUGGGAGGAAGGGCAGUAAGUUAAUACCUUGCUGUUUUGACGUUACCAACAGAAUAAGCACCGGCUAACUUCGUG
RNAcentral lists this ribosomal RNA (484 nucleotides) under uncultured bacterium. RNAcentral's name for it is "partial 16S ribosomal RNA". It matches the Rfam family "Bacterial small subunit ribosomal RNA", at positions 30 to 507 of the family's 1533-position model. The record is from RNAcentral.